CCUACGGGUGGCAGCAGUGAGGAAUAUUGGUCAAUGGACGAGAGUCUGAACCAGCCAAGUAGCGUGAAGGAUGACUGCCCUAUGGGUUGUAAACUUCUUUUAUAUGGGAAUAAAAUGUUCCACGUGUGGGAUUUUGUAUGUACCAUAUGAAUAAGGAUCGGCUAACUCCGUGCCAGCAGCCGCGGUAAUACGGAGGAUCCGAGCGUUAUCCGGAUUUAUUGGGUUUAAAGGGAGCGUAGGUGGAUUGUUAAGUCAGUUGUGAAAGUUUGCGGCUCAACCGUAAAAUUGCAGUUGAAACUGGCAGUCUUGAGUACAGUAGAGGUGGGCGGAAUUCGUGGUGUAGCGGUGAAAGUCUUAGAUAUCACGAAGAACUCCGAUUGCGAAGGCAGCUCACUGGACUGCAACUGACACUGAGGCUCGAAAGUGUGGGUAUCAAACAGGAUUAGAUACCCUAGUAGUC
This 460-nucleotide ribosomal RNA is filed under the name uncultured bacterium. Its description in RNAcentral is "partial 16S ribosomal RNA". It matches the Rfam family "Bacterial small subunit ribosomal RNA", at positions 338 to 795 of the family's 1533-position model. The record is from RNAcentral.